This is a long non-coding RNA of Vespula vulgaris, 3602 nucleotides long. RefSeq lists it as uncharacterized. Lineage: Eukaryota; Metazoa; Arthropoda; Insecta; Hymenoptera; Vespidae. The record is from RefSeq and is a predicted model, not a curated record. The transcript has 6 exons.
GGCUGAGAAGCAAUACGCAGUGCCACCUACUGGCAGAAUAUGAUAAUAGCCGGCAGAAGCCAUUACGAUUCUAACGCGAGUUCAAACGUGCGUGUUUUUGUACUUCGCUUAUUAUUUUCCGCUUAUAUUUUUGUUAGAAGCAUUAUUUAACGUAGUAUUAAGAUAUUAAGAUAUCACGCUGUUAUCGCAGUUAUGGGACUUGACGAGUUACGAUGAAAAACUAUGAAUCGUUACGUUGUAAAUGGAGAUAUUCCAGAUUCAGUUACCGGCAGAAAAAUUAUCGGAAAUUACCCGUCUCUGAAUGGGAGUCUUAAUCGAUAAGUGAGCAAAAGGAAGGAAGGAAGGAAGGAAGGAAGGAAGGAAGGAAGGAAGGAAGGAAGGAAGGAAGGAAGGAAGGAAAGAUUGAACGAAGAAACGAAGAAAGAACAUAGAUAUGGAGGGGAGAAAAAACGAGUGCUCGCGAACGUGUACGCGCGACCAUUCUAACCGAGUCACGAUGAGAAAUCCACACCUGUCUGAACACACGAAGUGUCGUACCACUUAAGCGUCCAGAACUCGCUGCUUCUGUUCGACAUGAAAAAGAAAAAAAGAAACAAACAAAGAGAAAGAAGAAGAAAGGAAAGUAUUAACAUCGUUUGAACAAUUUUCAAAGGAAACCAUGAAUAUAUCGGUUCCGACGAAUAUCUUAGCCUAAUCUACUUUGUUAUAAGGAUAAAGUAACGAAACGAUAAGGAGCUCGUUAAUUGAAUUGACAGCAAUUAAUAUCGUCGAAUCGUUCUUCCUACGUUUCUCCUUCUCAGAGCCAUCGUUUCAAUGGGAUAGACGAAAGAAAACCUGAUAAGCGGGACGUCCCUCCCGAUGGAUGAAAAGUUGAUUCGGUCAUAAAUCAAUCUAGACGCGAUUUACUUUCUUGGAGUAGCGCCAACCGAACGAAGGAACGGAAUUCUGCAGUCAAUGAUUUCUUCAUUCCGCAUUCGUAUACUCGUUCGAUAGAUGAAUUCGUCUUCUUCGAUAAGGUUUGAAGAAGAAAAGAGUGGAAAAGGAAAAUAAAAAGGAAGAGGAGGAGGAAGGGGAAGAGAAGAAGAAGAAGAAGAAGAAGAAAAUAAUAAAAAGAAAACGAAAAAAGAAAAUAAAAAUCCAAAUGAGUAGGAGAGGAGAGUGGUGGGGAGGGGGUGCAGGAGAGGAGACGUUAUCGCGAAUAAUCGAAAGAGAUAGGAGGAAAAGGGGAUUAUCUCGAAGAGAAGCAAAGAGAGUAAAAGUUCGGAGAAUGAAUUGCGGGGGAAGAUGAAACAAUGAAACGACGAUAACGACGCGCUAGCAGUUACGAAAAUAAAUGUAUGCGAGCGAUUACGAGAGAGGGAGAGAGAGAGAGAGAGAGAGAGAGUCCGUUGGUAUUUCCAGUCUGAAGGCCCGACGAGUGCCGAGAAAUGAAAUUUUACGCGAUCCUUGCUCGUUCGAACGAUUUGCAUUUCACAAAGAGAGAAAACAAUGCUCGGAGUCUGACGUAGGACGAGAUUAUUCCUCCAUCUAAUUUCACUUGGCUCUUCGUUAUACCCAAAGACUUCCUAAUGUCGCUUCUUAGAAAUUCAGUGAGUCAGUACGCCGACAACGCCGACGCCGACGACGACGACGACGACGACGACGACAACGACGACGACGACGAAUGUUGGUCCACUUUCUUGCAAAAGAUACGUAUUUGCCAGCGGCACGUGGCUCUACGAGUCUUCCAUGCAUAAAAUCUCCAUGAAUUGAAGAAAAUGUCGUGAACGUUGCGUUAUAUUACAUCUAGAAUUAUCAUUAGGUUUUUUAAUUCUCCCUAUUUCGUUACUUUCGAAGAAAAAUAUUCGACCAACUUGGAUAGAGGAGAUAAAUGAAAUGUGUUUAAAUAAUAGGAAAUAAUUAAGAAAAUGAAUAGGAGGCUUUUUCCGAGCUGCUGAAAUGUUGGACGUGCCAUUUGCAAGGAUUAUUAGAGACCCAUGCUCUCUCUCUCUCUCUCUCUCUCUCCGUCCUUUAUUCCCUUUUCCUCUUAUCCUCUCCCUUUCUAGCUCUUUCUUUUUCCCUCUCUCAGAGUGAAUAUUAUUCGUAGUCGCUAAUAAAAAGCACACCGUACCGUUGUUAUGCCGAGCAUGGCUUCAUAUACCGAGAAAAGUUUUGCCCCUUUUACCGUGCCUAGUGUAUAUUUACGUUGACUGGAUCUUUCCAAUUUCCGGUGUGGCCGAGGGACGCUUCGUCAUACUUUACGACAAUAUCGACGUCCUUCUCCGUUUGCCCACGCGUCGCCCAAUAAAAACGUAGACCAUUUCGUGCCACCAGGGAAAAGGAAGUUGAAAAGGGAAAUUGUCGAUGUUAAAUUCUUCGAGUGAGGAAGGGCGCGUCCUGUAAUCUAUCUACAUCGAGCGAUUUUCUUCUUCUUCGUUAUUAUCGAUUAUAUCGUGACGUAAGAAAUCGCCGAAUAAUUUUCUAUCGAAUAAUAAUUGGAUCGCUUUAUUCGGACCGAUGAAAUCGUAAACAUUCCAAUUUAAAAACACGAUCACAAUCGCGACGAGUAGUUUUCUCGUUAGCGACGUAAGGACCAUCGAUUAUUCAUUAUUCCUCGAUAUUACGACGCAUCUAUGAACGUGAAGAAAUGUUAGGACGAAAAGAAAGAUAAAGAUGUAUAAAGGAAUCUGAGAAGGACGAUACGCUAACGUCGAUGACGAAAGAAUGAAAUCAGUAAUCGUCGGAGAUGGAAUCGAUCUCUUUUUCUAUAGAAAACAUAAGUCGUGAUAAUUGGAAUGACGAGUGGCCCACUUAUCUCGAUGGCGAGACGUAGGCACUUAAUAUCGUCGAUAAAUAAGAGUUACGUCGUCUUACUUUAUGCGUAUUUAUGAGGGUAUGCGAAAGACGAUAGUAUGGCAAGGAACGAUGGCGAAUUUGGUAGGAGAGCUUCGUUUUCACAUCUACGACCCUUUUCCCUUAUAAAUAAAUUCCAUUGAGAAAAUAAGAAGACAUUUUGCGGGAAAAGCAUAUAAGAGAAAGAGAGAAGAGAAGAGGGAAAGAAAGAAAGAAAGAGCAGCGAAGAAAAAGAAAGAGAGAGACAGAGAGAGGGAGACAGACAGAAAGAGAGAGAGAAAUAGAAAGAGAGAGAGAGAGAGAGAGAGAGAGAGAGAGAGAGAGAGAGAAAGAAAACGAAUUUUAUCGGAUCGCAAAGUCCCAGCCCGAAGAAUAACUUUUGUCGUUGAAACUUUACGAGAGGGUAAGUCGAAUUAAGCUUAAGUAGUGCUUCCUAAAGGCUCUGCAAUUAUAAUACGAGACGGCGGAGAGAACGACCAUGACAGUUCGCAGCGGCUACUCCAUCUCAAAUUGGACGGUCCUCGUAUUUUUAUUAUGCACGCAAUUAAGAACAUUUCAGAAAGAUAUAACGAGGACGGUUCGGUUCCGUGAAAAUCGCAAUUACUUCGAAGCAUUUCCACACGAUGGACCCGACUUUAUUUCUCAGUUUCGUUGGAACGAACAAAAUUUUCGAUAUCGUUUGAGAAGGAAAAAUAGAAAAGACAAAAAAGGAAAAAAGAAUAAAGCGGGAAAUAAAAAAAAAAUAAAUCCAUGAAAUAGCUUCAACAAAA